GCUCAAAUUUGAAAUCUGCGCUCUUUCAGAGUCCGAGUUGUAAUUUGAAGAAGGUAUCUUUGGGUCUGGCUCUUGUCUAUGUUUCUUGGAACAGAACGUCACAGAGGGUGAGAAUCCCGUGCGAUGAGAUGAUCCAGGCCUAUGUAAAGUUCCUUCGAAGAGUCGAGUUGUUUGGGAAUGCAGCUCUAAGUGGGUGGUAAAUUCCAUCUAAAGCUAAAUAUUGGCGAGAGACCGAUAGCGAACAAGUACAGUGAUGGAAAGAUGAAAAGAACUUUGAAAAGAGAGUGAAAAAGUACGUGAAAUUGUUGAAAGGGAAGGGCUUGAGAUCAGACUUGGUAUUUUGUAUGUUACUUCUUCGGGGGUGGCCUCUACAGUUUAUCGGGCCAGCAUCAGUUUGGGCGGUAGGAGAAUUGCGUUGGAAUGUGGCACGGCUUCGGUUGUGUGUUAUAGCCUUUGUCGAUACUGCCAGCCUAGACUGAGGACUGCGGUUUAUACCUAGGAUGUUGGCAUAAUGAUCUUAAGUCGCCCGUCUUGAAACACGGACCAAGGAGUCUAACGUCUAUGCGAGUGUUUGGGUGUAAAACCCGUACGCGUAAUGAAAGUGAACGUAGGUGGGGGCCCGUAUGGGUGCACCAUCGACCGAUCCUGAUGUCUUCGGAUGGAUUUGAGUAAGAGCAUAGCUGUUGGGACCCGAAAGAUGGUGAACUAUGCCUGAAUAGGGUGAAGCCAGAGGAAACUCUGGUGGAGGCUCGUAGCGGUUCUGACGUGCAAAUCGAUCGUCGAAUUUGGGUAUA
RNAcentral lists this ribosomal RNA (794 nucleotides) under Candida tropicalis. RNAcentral's name for it is "LSU rRNA". It matches the Rfam family "Eukaryotic large subunit ribosomal RNA", at positions 107 to 919 of the family's 3401-position model. The record is from RNAcentral. Lineage: Eukaryota; Fungi; Ascomycota; Pichiomycetes; Serinales; Debaryomycetaceae.